AAUCAACGCUGGCGGCGUGCCUCAGACAUGCAAGUCGAACGCGAAAGUCCCCUUCGGGGGACGAAGUAGAGUGGCGCACGGGUGAGUAACACGUAGGUAAUCUACCUUCGGAUGGGGAAGUAACAACCGGAAACGGUUGCUAAUACCGCAUAAUGCAGCGGCACCUAAUGGUGACAGUUGUUAAAGCGGGGGAUCUAAGACCUCGCGUCUGAAGAGGAGCCUGCGGCGGAUUAGCUAGNGGGUUAGGGUAACGGCCUACCAAGGCGACGAUCCGUAGCCGGCCUGAGAGGGCGGUCGGCCACACUGACACUGACAUACGGGUCAGACUCCUACGGGAGGCAGCAGUCGGGAA
Molecule: ribosomal RNA, 352 nt
Filed under: uncultured bacterium
Lineage: Bacteria
Description: bacterial SSU rRNA
Rfam family: Bacterial small subunit ribosomal RNA
Source: RNAcentral